This 233-nucleotide unclassified non-coding RNA is filed under the name rhizosphere metagenome. RNAcentral describes it as "partial ribosomal RNA internal transcribed spacer region". The record is from RNAcentral.
GUAGGUGAACCUGCGGAAGGAUCAUUAAUGAGUUAGGGUCUUCUAGGCCCGAUCUCCAACCCUUUGUAUAACUACCAUGUUGCUUUGGCGGGCCCGUCUUUCACCGGACCGUCGGGGGUCUCUUGACCUCUGGCCAGUGCUCGUCAGUAGCCUAACAAACCCUUUAAACCAUGUUAAAUCUGAAAAUAGUUAAAAAUAAACUAAAACUUUCAACAACGGAUCUCUUGGUUCUG